This 378-nucleotide ribosomal RNA is filed under the name uncultured bacterium. RNAcentral describes it as "bacterial SSU rRNA". It matches the Rfam family "Bacterial small subunit ribosomal RNA", at positions 521 to 896 of the family's 1533-position model. The record is from RNAcentral.
UAAUACGUAGGGUGCAAGCGUUAUCCGGAAUUAUUGGGCGUAAAGAGCUCGUAGGCGGUUUGUCGCGUCUGCUGUGAAAACCCGAGGCUCAACCUCGGGCCUGCAGUGGGUACGGGCAGACUAGAGUGCGGUAGGGGAGAUUGGAAUUCCUGGUGUAGCGGUGGAAUGCGCAGAUAUCAGGAGGAACACCGAUGGCGAAGGCAGAUCUCUGGGCCGUAACUGACGCUGAGGAGCGAAAGCGUGGGGAGCGAACAGGAUUAGAUACCCUGGUAGUCCACGCCGUAAACGUUGGGCGCUAGAUGUGGGGACCAUUCCACGGUUUCCGUGUCGCAGCUAACGCAUUAAGCGCCCCGCCUGGGGAGUACGGCCGCAAGGCUA